UCUGACACAGGUGCUGCAUGGCUGUCGUCAGCUCGUGUCGUGAGAUGUUGGGUUAAGUCCCGUAACGAGCGCAACCCUUGUCCUUAGUUACCAGCACGUUAUGGUGGGCACUCUAAGGAGACUGCCGGUGACAAACCGGAGGAAGGUGGGGGAUGACGUCAAGUCAUCAUGGCCUUUACGGCCUGGGCUACACACGUGCUACAAUGGUCGGUACAAAGGGUUGCCAAGCCGCGAGGUGGAGCUAAUCCCAUAAAACCGAUCGUAGUCCGGAUCGCAGUCUGCAACUCGACUGCGUGAAGUCGGAAUCGCUAGUAAUCGUGAAUCAGAAUGUCGCGGUGAAUGCGUUCCCGGGCCUU
Molecule: ribosomal RNA, 356 nt
Filed under: uncultured Pseudomonas sp.
Lineage: Bacteria; Pseudomonadati; Pseudomonadota; Gammaproteobacteria; Pseudomonadales; Pseudomonadaceae
Description: bacterial SSU rRNA
Rfam family: Bacterial small subunit ribosomal RNA
Source: RNAcentral